This 216-nucleotide ribosomal RNA is filed under the name Glomeromycotina sp. RNAcentral describes it as "partial small subunit ribosomal RNA". The stretch from base 40 to 216 matches the Rfam family "Eukaryotic small subunit ribosomal RNA", at positions 686 to 864 of the family's 1831-position model. The record is from RNAcentral. Lineage: Eukaryota; Fungi; Glomeromycota.
GGGUCAGUAGGUUGGUCGUGCCACCGGUACGUACUGGUCUCACUGAUUCCUCCUUCCUGAAGAACCGUAAUGCCAUUAAUUUGGUGUUGCGGGGAAACAGGACUGUUACUUUGAAAAAAUUAGAGUGUUUAAAGCAAGCUAGCGCUUGAAUACAUUAGCAUGGAAUAAUGAAAUAGGACGAUCGAUCCUAUUUUGUUGGUUUCUAGGAUUGACGCA